RNAcentral lists this unclassified non-coding RNA (214 nucleotides) under Hevea brasiliensis (rubber tree). The record is from RNAcentral. Lineage: Eukaryota; Viridiplantae; Streptophyta; Magnoliopsida; Malpighiales; Euphorbiaceae.
GACCGGGAGCUGCGAGCCCUUCUGAGGAGGCGGCGGAGGAGUUCCGCCAUCCUCCAGUUGCUCCAGGGGGUCCAAGUGAACCCGAGGGCUGAACCCAUGGACGAUAGUAUGGACAAUCUGGAUGGUGACAGCUUGGUACUUAUUAAUGCGUUCAAUCAUGCAGUAAUUCUUCAAGGCUCAUUUGAUUCAGAAGAGAACCAGGGGCCCUCGCUCG